UCCACAUGAUCACCCAUAAUUUGUUUCAACACAAUGUUUCUAGCUUUCCUUGCUACAGUCCUCCCUACAUACACAUUCAACUCUUUCUUCACUAAAAUUUGAAACUGAAAAACUCUAAUGCCAGGCUCAGAAAUAAUUCUGUCCUUGUACCUUUCUGAUAAGUACUUUGAAUUCACCAAUUUAUUUUUGGUUGUGCCAUUGCAUUUAUGUACUGGAUUAUAAUUCUUCACCACAAAAUCUCUUGUUCUUGAAUCAAUACUUCCAAACAACAACCAUAGACAACCAG
This 286-nucleotide long non-coding RNA is filed under the name Solanum tuberosum (potato). RNAcentral's name for it is "long non-coding RNA (STUB_LNC007157)". Lineage: Eukaryota; Viridiplantae; Streptophyta; Magnoliopsida; Solanales; Solanaceae. The record is from RNAcentral.